Molecule: long non-coding RNA, 641 nt
Organism: Helicoverpa armigera (cotton bollworm)
Lineage: Eukaryota; Metazoa; Arthropoda; Insecta; Lepidoptera; Noctuidae
Exons: 2
Source: RefSeq, a predicted model, not a curated record
GAAGUCCCGUAACGCCGGGCGGCACCUAGCGCCGGACACUCGUACUAUUUAAGCGUGUAUAAAUCUGUUCGAUUCAAAAUACAAGUGAAAAGGGCGCGGGGGGCACACAGGUACAGGAUCAUGCGCCACCCCUCACCUGUGACGCACACGACCACGGCAGGAGCAACCGUUAGCUGGUUUAGGUGCGAAAUCACUGCGACAGCUAAAUAUCAAUAUUAUAGAAGAAAGAAGAUAAUUAAAAUGGAAGACAAGAAAAAGAACGGAUCCUGGGCGCCACAGAGCUUACAACCUGCUAUUGAUGAGGUUAUGCCAAAAAAAGCGAGACAAUUUUCGUAAUUUGCUUAGAAGACUGGAUCCAGUGCUCAUCCUGUCGUGGGUGGAUACGUGAAGUAUGUGAAGACAUUCUAGAGUGUGAAAAUGGCUAAAUAUGCUGGUUAUUUUGAAAUUUCCAGUGCUAGGGGUAUGGCGCAAAUAGCCGUCCGGUACUAGGUGCCACUUUUUAAAAUUACGUUUUUUGUUAUCAAGGUUUGAUUGAUAGUAUUAAUUAUUUUAGAGCAGAGGUUGCAUUUUUGAUAAUUUAAUUUGAUUUCUAACUUUGUCAUCUUAUAUAAAUCAUAAUUUAAUAAACAUUUCUUAAACUA